AAUACAUGCAAGUCGAACGCUUCUUUUUCCACCGGAGCUUGCUCCACCGGAAGAAGAGGAGUGGCGAACGGGUGAGUAACACGUGGGUAACCUGCCCAUCAGAAGGGGAUAACACUUGGAAACAGGUGCUAAUACCGUAUAACAAUCAAAACCGCAUGGUUUUGAUUUGAAAGGCGCUUUCGGGUGUCGCUGAUGGAUGGACCCGCGGUGCAUUAGCUAGUUGGUGAGGUAACGGCUCACCAAGGCCACGAUGCAUAGCCGACCUGAGAGGGUGAUCGGCCACAUUGGGACUGAGACACGGCCCAAACUCCUACGGGAGGCAGCAGUAGGGAAUCUUCGGCAAUGGACGAAAGUCUGACCGAGCAACGCCGCGUGAGUGAAGAAGGUUUUCGGAUCGUAAAACUCUGUUGUUAGAGAAGAACAAGGAUGAGAGUAACUGUUCAUCCCUUGACGGUAUCUAACCAGAAAGCCACGGCUAACUACGUGCCAGCAGCCGCGGUAAUACGUAGGUGGCAAGCGUUGUCCGGAUUUAUUGGGCGUAAAGCGAGCGCAGGCGGUUUCUUAAGUCUGAUGUGAAAGCCCCCGGCUCAACCGGGGAGGGUCAUUGGAAACUGGGAGACUUGAGUGCAGAAGAGGAGAGUGGAAUUCCAUGUGUAGCGGUGAAAUGCGUAGAUAUAUGGAGGAACACCAGUGGCGAAGGCGGC
RNAcentral lists this ribosomal RNA (704 nucleotides) under uncultured Bacilli bacterium. RNAcentral describes it as "bacterial SSU rRNA". It matches the Rfam family "Bacterial small subunit ribosomal RNA", at positions 50 to 725 of the family's 1533-position model. Lineage: Bacteria; Bacillati; Bacillota; Bacilli. The record is from RNAcentral.